Molecule: ribosomal RNA, 406 nt
Filed under: uncultured bacterium
Lineage: Bacteria
Description: partial 16S ribosomal RNA
Rfam family: Bacterial small subunit ribosomal RNA
Source: RNAcentral
AUUGAACGCUGGCGGCAGGCCUAACACAUGCAAGUCGAACGAGUGGCGGACGGGUGAGUAAUGUUUGGGAAACUGGCUGAUGGAGGGGGAUAACUACGGGAAACGGUAGCUAAUACCGCAUACCAUCGGAUGUGCCCAAGUGGGAUUAGCUAGUAGGUGGGGUAAAGGCUCACCUAGGCGACGAUCCCUAGCUGGUCUGAGAGGAUGACCAGCCACACUGGAACUGAGACACGGUCCAGACUCCUACGGGAGGCAGCAGUGGGGAAUAUUGCACAAUGGGCGCAAGCCUGAUGCAGCCAUGCCGCGUGUAUGAAGAAGGCCUUCGGGUUGUAAAGUACUUUCAGCGGGGAAGCGUUACCCGCAGAAGAAGCACCGGCUAACUCCGUGCCAGCAGCCGCGGUAAUAC